UAUCUUGCUGGAGAUCCCUGCCUACUUGAGGUCUUCUGAAACUCCAGUUCACAAGCAAGAUGAAGUUGACAUGAAUUUUGGCUUUGUGAUGGCAGCUUAGCCUUUGUAAACAGGCUGGUAAAUCAGACUCCCAGAACCAUCUCUAGCAGAACAACUAUUUGAGUUAUUUCUGGAUGUCUCUGAAAAGUAUAGCACAGGAUUUAGGUCACAAGAUAAAUACAAUUAAAAUUCCUCCAGAUGAGAUGUUAUUUGAGCAUCAUCAGAACAGGAUCCUGGAUAGUUGAUUCUUUUUGAUGAAUAGUCCUAUGGAGAAAAGAAGAUAAUUCAUAACAGGAUUGCAAUACGACAGGUGAUGAAAGGAAAAUCCUUGAUGAAGAGGAAGAAGUGGAUUUUUGAAUCUCUGAUGGAUGUAGGAUGCCUACUUUUGAUCUGCUGUCUUGGCUAUAUGCACCAUUGCCCUCUACUGGCCAGGAGCAGAGCUAUGAUGGGUCCUUCCUGAGGCAAAGCAUCUCACCUUCCAGAAGCUACUUCAGCUCUGUGAAAAUAACAGCCACACCAAGAUGCCUUCUUUACUCUCAGAAUGGAGCCAGGGAUUUGCAGUAGCACUAAGUUAAGGACAGCUGCCCCUCUACAAGUCUGUACUUCCCACUUGGAUACCCUCUUCAUGGUGCCAUUGUUUAUUAUCCGAAGUGUGCUUGAACUAUAUAUUUUUAAAAAGUGGUUUUAUGUUGCCAUAUUUCUAGGCAAUUUUUUACUGUAAAAACAGAGAAAUGCUUAAUCUGCUGGAAAAACAGCACGAUGAGCUGUAGGCAAUCCAGGAGGUUCCUGGAAGGCAUCAAGAAUAACUUAUUAAGCCAAACAAUAGACAGCCCCACCAGGAAGGAUGCAAUACCUGUUGCUUAUCAAUGCAAGUGAGUUGGUUAGUGACGUCAUUGGAAGUUGUCUGUGCUGUAGUGCUCAUGCUGUGAUGAAGCUCACGCUCCCAAGGGAUAUGGGACAGUUAAAGAGUAAAAUUAGAGUGCUAGCUUUUAGAAAAGACAAACUCCAGCUUUUCAGGGUCAACAGAACUCCUUGGGAAAUAAGGACAAGGGAGUAGAGUGCAGAUGGCUUAAGGAAGCUUUCCUCAGGGCACGAGAGGUCUCCAUCACCAGGUGUAGGAAGUCAGGAAAGGAAGGCAAGAAGACUGACAUGGCUGAACCAGAACCUGCUUGCCAAACUGGAGAGCAAGAAGAAAAUGCACAGCAGUGGACAUGGGGACAGGUAACCUGGGAGGAGUGUAUGAAUGCUACUAAGCUGAGUAGGGAUAGAGUCAGAAAGGCCAAGGCCCAGCUGAAACUAGACUUGAUAAGGGUGCAAAGAAGAACAGGAAAGGCUUCUAGGGGUAUGUCAACCAGAAGAGUAAAGUUCAAAGUGUUUCCCCCCUCUGCCUAGUGAGCAAUACAGGCAGGCUGGUAACAAAGGUAACAAGGAAAAGGCUAAGGUAUUCAACUCCUUUGCCUCUGCUCUUCAUGCAUUCCACUGAGAGGAUGUUCAGAAAUCGAGGGCUGUAGGAGCAUGUCCCUCCUAGUGUAUGUGAAGAUCAGGCUCACAACUAUAUGAGGAACCUGAACAUCCAGGAGUCUAUAGAUCCUGACAAAAAGUGUCCUAGAGUCCUGAGGGAAACAGCUACUGUAGUCACCAAGACACUCUCAGUGGUAUAUGGGAAGUCCUGGCAGCCAGGUGAAGUCCCUGGUGACUGGAAAAAAGGAAACGUCUCAUCCAUUUUUAAGAAGGGUAAAAAGGAUGACCUGGCUUCACCUGUGUGCCAGAAAAGAUUGUGGAACAGAUCCUCCUGGAAGCUAUGCUAAGGACAGGCUCUAAGUAACUUGAUGUAGCUGUAGAAGUUUAUUACAGGGUAGCUGGAUUAGAUAACAUUUAAAGGUCCCUUCCCACUCAAACCAUUCUUUGAUUCUAUGCUUAUACAGUUAUCUUCUGGCUGAUCAGCAGUAAUACAUUAAAUCACACUGAAAAAUUACGGUCAGUUUCUGAACAUUAUUUUCCUUUUUUUUUUUUUUUUUUUUUUUUUAGUAGCACUGCAUUGACUUUGAGGAGCCUAUAGUUUCUCUUAAGUUUGCUGUUUUGCUGUGCAGUGCUUCAGCAAAUAUCAUCUUACCACUACAGCAAUGGAUUCUGAGAAAUAAUCCUUUCAACUUUUCUGUCAGUGACACUUAAACGCAAAAAAAAUGAAAACAAGAAGAAAAAGUUUGUCUCCUUUCCUACUUGCUCUGUUUGAAAUCUUUCACUAAGCCUUCUGAAAGCCAUUCAGAUGUAUUUAUUUGUGUGUCUUGUGGAUGCAGGAGUUGUUUCCAGAUUGGUCAUAGUUUGGUUCUAUCACCUCCCUUUAUUUUCCCAUGUUUGCAGUGUCCUGCCGUGUUAAGGAAGAAGUUGUGCUGAUACAAAAAAAGAUUUUUUUUUUAUGUUUUUCUUGCAGUGGAUAUUUUCCUACAUGAGUUAAUUUCUACCUAGUGAAUCUUCUGAGUCAUCUAAAUCAGAGGAUACGAGCCUUUUCCUUGCUGAGGGCCAAGCAGACUUUUCACACACCUUUUGCAGACCACACAGAUCAAUGUUAUUUUAUAAUUUGUGAGGAAAAAGCAAUUUCUUCAAGACAUAUGGAAUACAGUUGCUGGCUAAUUCUGCUAGUGGCUUCUCACAUAUUUUCUACGUGACCUUCUUUGCAUGUUGGGCCUCCUUGAUACACCACUGAUACACUUCCUUGAAGAAUGACUUCUCAAGGCUUUAUUAUGGGAAAUACCCCAAGUAAGCAUUCCAGGUCUGGAACAAUUCACAAGGAAUAGCUCUGAAAUUACUUGCAAAGAGUAGCUCAUCUCUGGCUAGGUGUUUAUUUAGCCUAAAAAGAUACCUGCUGAAGUGAGAAUGAUUACAUGUAAUUUCUUCUACCAGCUCCUGCUGCUUCCUGCUGCAUUCACUAAGGAGAUGCUGGGCAGCAGCUCUCAUGGAUAUCUGCCACUGGAUGCAGUGCCACAAAAGCAGCCGUAUUUGUGGAAUCCAUGACAGCUGAGAGUGUGUGAAGUCUCAGGCUUGUAGUCUGCAGGUCUUGCAGCAGGGGCCAACAGUCAAUGGAGUAUUCUGUACGCGCAUCCCUGUAUCAUCUCAGAGUUCUCACCAGGAAGAGUAUUCAUAUAUUCAUAUUGGGAGCAUUUUCUUAAAGGUAUCUUAUGGACAGCUAACUCUACCUCUGCUCUUUCCAAACUCCCUCCCGUACUCAUGUUCUCUUCCAUACACUGCAGGUUUUCUUUGUAUCAGAGAGAUCUUCCCACAGCUCGUGAUAUGCCUUUGAUCUCUUGGCAGUAUUUGUUGACAAGGAUGGAUUGGAUACAGCGAACGAUCGCAGUAAGCAUGUGAAAACAUACCUAAAACUUAACUUGAUCCUACAUUAAUUGAGAGUAGAUCUCAAGGCUUUUCUCUUGUGGAUUUUAGGACUUCAUAUUCACUUGCAUGCUGUCACUUAAUGAGACUAUAGCACAAACUUGUGAAAAGCCACACUUAUCAAGUAAUGUCACUUGCCGGGGUUUCUACAUGGUUGGAGUUUCCCAGAAUAUAUCCUCUUUUUCUGCCUGGAAAUGU
This is a long non-coding RNA of Lagopus muta (rock ptarmigan), 3624 nucleotides long. RefSeq lists it as uncharacterized. The record is from RefSeq and is a predicted model, not a curated record. Lineage: Eukaryota; Metazoa; Chordata; Aves; Galliformes; Phasianidae. The transcript has 3 exons.